Linepithema humile (Argentine ant) is the source of this 664-nucleotide non-coding RNA. The record is from RefSeq and is a predicted model, not a curated record. NCBI's taxonomy places the organism in Eukaryota, Metazoa, Arthropoda, Insecta, Hymenoptera, Formicidae.
AUCCGCAAAGCGUCAAGAAAUAAACGAUUGCCGUUGGCUGCAUCAUUGACAAAGGAUUAGAGAAGAACACAGUCUUUCGGGAUAUUUUGCACUUUUUCAAACACCAGCGUAGGUGCGUCUUUGGCCAACAAGAAGUCGGCGUGAUUGAAUUUGGGAAAUGGCACUCUGUAGUCUUCCACUAUAUUGGGAAGCGAGUCACGAAGUAUCUUCAAGUCCUAGAAAAAAUCUGUUGUGUGAAGAGAUUGACGUUGCAUCCCACUCUCGCCAGAUACAGCAAUACACUGUUCUUUGGCAAGAAUUCAUUUAUGCCUAAGAAUCGCAAGAUUGCCUACAAUGGAAAAUAUUUUUAUCUCUUUUCAUGUCAUGCGAGCUAACUGCUACAUUAAUUGAGCAAGUUUCUAGCGGACUCUUUCUGCAUAAGUACAAAAAUGAAGAUAAGUACAAUAAUUUAAGAACAUCAUAAACUAACGUAUAUAAAUUUAUGUAGUGCAAAUUACUCUGAUCUUAUUUUUUAGAUUAUUGUCAUUGAAAUUAUGGUCAUCCAACAUCUAUACUUUUAUCGAAAACUGGAGCAAGCUAAUUAGCUUACCUCGAUGGAGCUUGUAUAAGGAGCAAACAAUCGCAACAAGCUUGUCAUAUUUCCUACAAAGGCUACAGGCGCGAG